This 404-nucleotide ribosomal RNA is filed under the name Fusobacteriota bacterium. RNAcentral's name for it is "Fusobacteria bacterium partial 16S ribosomal RNA". It matches the Rfam family "Bacterial small subunit ribosomal RNA", at positions 355 to 776 of the family's 1533-position model. The record is from RNAcentral. Lineage: Bacteria; Fusobacteriati; Fusobacteriota.
UGGGGAAUAUUGCACAAUGGAGGGAACUCUGAUGCAGCGACGCCGCGCGAGUGAUGAAGGAAUUCGUUUCGUAAAACUCUGUUCUAUGGGAAGAAAAGGACUGUACCAUAGGAGAAAGCUCCGGCUAAAUACGUGCCAGCAGCCGCGGUAAUACGUAUGGAGCGAGCGUUGUCCGGAAUUAUUGGGCGUAAAGGGUGCGCAGGCGGCUUUACAAGUUGGAUGUGAAAUAUUGUGGCUCAACCACAAACGUGCAUCCAAAGCUGCAAAGCUUGAUUUAAGGAGAGAUAAGUGGAAUUCCUGGUGUAGCGGUGGAAUGCGUAGAUAUCAGGAGGAAUACCGGUGGAGAAGGCAACUUACUGGACUUAAACUGACGCACAGGCACGAAAACGGGGGGAGCAAGCAGG